AGAAUCAACGCUGGCGGCGUGCCUAACACAUGCAAGUCGAACGAGAAAGGGGUAGCAAUACCCUGAGUAAAGUGGCGCACGGGUGAGUAACACGUGACUAACCUACCCUUGAGUGGGGGAUAACUGAGGGAAAACCUUAGCUAAUACCGCAUAAUACCCACGGGUCAAAGGAGCAAUUCGCUCGAGGAGGGGGUCGCGGCCGAUUAGUUAGUUGGCGGGGUAAUGGCCCACCAAGACGAUGAUCGGUAUCCGGCCUGAGAGGGCGCACGGACACACUGGAACUGAAACACGGUCCAGACUCCUACGGGAGGCAGCAGUGGGGAAUUUUGCGCAAUGGGGGAAACCCUGACGCAGCAACGCCGCGUGGAGGAUGAAGUCCUUCGGGACGUAAACUCCUUUCGAUCGGGGACGAUUAUGACGGUACCGGAAGAAGAAGCCCCGGCUAACUUCGUGCCAGCAGCCGC
This 464-nucleotide ribosomal RNA is filed under the name uncultured bacterium. RNAcentral describes it as "SSU rRNA". It matches the Rfam family "Bacterial small subunit ribosomal RNA", at positions 26 to 518 of the family's 1533-position model. The record is from RNAcentral.